UAGGUAAUAGUUAAGCAAUAUAUAACAUAGGUUUGUGGUACCUAAGAAGACUCUAUUGUCUUACCUGG
Molecule: transfer RNA, 68 nt
Filed under: Franciscoloa funerei
Lineage: Eukaryota; Metazoa; Arthropoda; Insecta; Psocodea; Menoponidae
Description: tRNA-His
Source: RNAcentral